UCGUCCUCAAAAUGUUACAAAUUUUAUGUUUCUAUUGUUUUUUUACAACACUCUCUCUCUCUAACCUAAUCGGCGUUGUAGAGAGAAGAAGUAAAAAAGACAUGCUCGUUACCACUGAACCUUCAUCGUCUAACGAUAACGGAUUUGAAGAAGUACCAGACGAGGAUCCAAAAGAAGAACCAGACGAAUCUGAUGGUAAUGGGGACGAUGAUGAAGAAGAUAAAAUGGAUUCUGGGCAAAAUGAUUCUAGCCAAGAAGUCGAGUUUAAGGGACACGAUGAAGACCUUGAACUAGGGAAAUCAAAAGGGGUUGCUUUUGAAGUAAAUGUAGCAGGAUGUUUUGCCCAUGAUCAUGUUGAUGAGAUGCCAAGAUUACAAGGAAAAGAAGCAUCUAAGGAGGCUCGUGAAAGUUUAGUGAAGCACGAUGGUGAUGCAACUCAUUUAAACAAUAAAUUCUUGCCCUCUAACGAGAAAGAGGUAGCUAGCAAUUUCUUGGUUAGAAAUCGUUCUGGAUAUAAGCUGUUAAGUAAUGUGCAAGUAAGCUCUGAGGAAAAAAACAGUCAAUCAGGGGAUAACGCCAAUCUAAGGUCAUCAAGUCUAAUCACUCCACAGAUACAACCUAGGAGUCAAUCCUCUAGCGCUGAGCCCGAGGACAAGAACAAAAUACCUGCAACAGCAUGCAAGAUUUUUGCCAAGGGUCGGUGCACCAAGAGGGAUUCAUGUAGGAUUGCUCAUAAAAAAGAUAGUGUUCUCAAUACUAGCAACAUGGCUAAGGAUGAUGAUGAAGUUGUUGAAAGUUUAAAAGGUGGACUGCGGGUCGAUGCAGGUUCAAGGCAAAUUGCUAAAAAGUCUAAAUUUUCAUCUACUGAGUCGAUGUCUUCGGCAGUUGUUGGUUACCCUUCCUUGUGCUCACAUUUUUCUUCCGAAAGGAACCUACUCGAGGAGCAUGAAGAAAGCCAAAGGUCAGGUAAGACUUCCGAAGAUCAUAAACAAUUGCCUUUGACAAGGGAUGAUCCGAGCCUCAUAUCGGUAGACUAUGUGGGUGAUGAGACUAAGAAACGAAAUAUCUCUCUUGAAAAGUGCUCCAUUGAUGCUUCACCAGAUGUUCGACGUGCUCUUCAAAAAUCCAUCAAUCCUCGGAUUGAUGAUCCAACUAUUUCUUCAUCAAGUUUGAUCCCUUGGAAUUCCUAUCUUGAAGAAGACUAUAAGCAGUCUUCUCAAGUUCCUUCGCUUAGUAGUAACCGUCAUGUUCAUUCUAAUCACAUGUCCAGGAAUAAAGAACUUGUGAGCGGAUAUGGAUUGGUGCAAAAUAACAUAGUUCCGAAUCAUAGUCUUUUAUCAAGUAAUGCUGGUGCACCUUCAAGCGUUUAUGGCAAGCAUACCUCUUUUGCUUAUGGUAAGUGUGGUGCUGAAACCAGUGCGCAUCAGAAUCUAAAUAGUAAUCCUGUGUGCUUUGAUGGCCAUGCUUCUCCAGGUUUUUAUAAUUCGUUGAACUCAAGAUCCGAACAUUUUUUCCCUUCUAUGGGCAUGGCGUCGCUGCAGCGUCCUUUUGAAUCCUCUAGAAUUUCACCUUCUCAAGGGUCCUCUCCUAUGAGACAUUACACGUUAUUUGAUACUGGUCAGGGAAUUUUUUCUUCCAGAUCCACCUCUGUACCUAAAACCCUCUCUUCGCUUUUCUAUUCUAGGCCUGAACCAGACAAUCUGCCUUCAUGUAUUGCCACAGUUGAUCGAAUGGACUAUAUUAGAUAUGCUCGCGAGUAUAACUGGGAACCUUCUGUUCCAUUUCAACCAUCUCUCUGUCUUCCGUCAAACUUAAAAUCAUCUCCUGAAAGUCAAUACGACCCUCUUCUUGAUAGCAUUGAGUUACCUAAUGUAGGUGAUAGGUCCUUACAAUCUUCUUCCUUGACUGAAGGUGUCGUCGUCCAAAAUACAUCACAAAGAAAUGCUGAUUCUGUCGGCCUUGACCAGCAUACAGAGAGUGUUUGUUUAGACAACAGCAAAUGCAAUCAUAGUCCACCCAAGGAUGCACCUUCAAGUGAAGCUACAAGAGAUUUUGUCGCUGAGAAACAAACUAACAUUCUUGUGCCAAAAGAUGAGAAGCCUUUAAAACAUGAUCAUGCUGUAAUUGCUUCAAAUGCCAAGGAAGUACGCCCUGAUCGUAGUCAUGGGCAAAUAGAUGGGUAUAAGCAGAAGAAGGAAACUAAAGCACAGAAAGUUUUUCGUGUUUCACUUGUUGAUUUUGUUAAAGAAUUGGUUAGGCCAUAUUGGCUUGAAGGCCAGGUUAGCAAGGACAUGCACAAUGUGAUUGUAAAGAAAGCAGUUGAGAAGGUCCUUAGCACAUUGCAGCCGCAUCAAAUUCCUAGCACCCCUCAGUUUGUUGAUCAGUAUCUUCUCACGUCCCUUCCUAAACUUAAAAAGCUUGUUGAGGGAUAUGUUAGUAAAUAUGUGAAAUCUGAGCUGCAACGGAAGUAAUGGAGUCUGUAUAUAUGCCUUGACAUGAUACUAGCAUGAUUUUUAAGUACUAGGUUGUGCUUCUACCUUGUAGGGUGGUAGUCAUGCCGUCUGUUGUUUCAGGGCAUUUCUUCAUGCUAUGUUUCCUCCAUGGAAAUAUUAGCCAUUGUUCCUUGCAUCAUCUCAGCUUGAACACUCUUAGUUUUCUGUUGGAAUUUUUAAGGACUGAAGAUUUCAGAGUUGGCUGAAAAAGAGCAGCGGUUUGAACUUAUAUUUAUGCCAUUAUUCUGGAGGAUCAUAAUUGUGGCAAUAAACAUCAUUUGAAAGUAGUACAGGAAUGUGUAUGAGACCACGAGUGUCACACUGUAGUUAUUUGGAUUUAGCUGGAUCGUAGCAACUCUCCGUCGAUGAACAAACUCUCCUCUUUUAUUUUGUGAAAGGUAUGGAACUUCAGAGUAAAGGGCUUAUUGUUAACUCCCAAAGUAGCUGUUUACAUUUCCUUUUCUUUCUUUUUUUCUUUUCUCUGUGUGUGUGCGUGUUUGGUAAGUAAGUGGUGUUCUUGUAGAGUCCAAAUAGAGUGUCUACCCCAUACUCUAAAUUAAAUUCCCAUUUCAGCAUUGCGUAUAAAGAUCAGUUCGAAAGGCAUACAGCAGUAAGUAAAAUUUCAGUGCUUUUAGUAAUUCCUCUUGUUAAUUAGCAUACAUCAAAUGUCACAAUAUCACAUCUAGUUAUUUGGCCCAGUGGUAUUCCACUAUUUGAAAUGUAUCAAAUAACGAAAGUAGAGGUGAAAUACACAUGCAGAUAUCCUGUGUUUUGGGACUUCAUCAGGAAUGCUGGAUAUCCUACUGAUUGUACACAAGGUUGCAGCUUUCUUGUGAGUUUCCGUUCUAGAUUGUUCAAAACAUUGUAGGGUCAUACAAUUCAAGGCUCUGUGACUGAAUUCCUAGACUAGGUUUUUUUUUUUUUUUUUGGGCGUGUCAUUCAUGAACCUGUAAGGAAUUGGUUCAAAAUUUCUUUCACAUCAUGUCGCAUGUCUUUUCUUUUCUGGCAAGACACAUUAUUCUCUUU
This is an RNA transcript of Papaver somniferum (opium poppy), 3518 nucleotides long. It is a transcript of the gene named protein FRIGIDA-ESSENTIAL 1-like, with no coding region annotated. Lineage: Eukaryota; Viridiplantae; Streptophyta; Magnoliopsida; Ranunculales; Papaveraceae. The record is from RefSeq and is a predicted model, not a curated record. The transcript is spliced from 8 exons.